Molecule: unclassified non-coding RNA, 348 nt
Filed under: soil metagenome
Description: partial contains 5.8S ribosomal RNA, internal transcribed spacer 2, and large subunit ribosomal RNA
Rfam family: 5.8S ribosomal RNA (bases 1-120)
Source: RNAcentral
GAUGAAGAACGUAGCGAAAUGCGAUAAGUAAUGUGAAUUGCAGAAUUCAGUGAAUCAUCGAGUCUUUGAACGCACAUUGCGCCCCCUGGUAUUCCGGGGGGCAUGCCUGUCCGAGCGUCAUUGCCGCCCUCAAGCACGGCUUGUGUGUUGGGCCACCGCCCCCCGGCUUCGGGGGGCGGGCCCGAAAGGCAGCGGCGGCACCGCGUCCGGUCCUCGAGCGUAUGGGGCUUCGUCACCCGCUCUGUAGGCCCGGCCGGCGCCCGCCGGCGACCCCAAUCAAUCUUUCCAGGUUGACCUCGGAUCAGGUAGGGAUACCCGCUGAACUUAAGCAUAUCAAUAAGCGGAGGA